RNAcentral lists this small nucleolar RNA (129 nucleotides) under Sorex araneus (European shrew). RNAcentral's name for it is "Small nucleolar RNA SNORA70 (ENSSARG00000020122.1)". It matches the Rfam family "Small nucleolar RNA SNORA70". From Rfam's summary of the family: snoRNA U70 seems to be exclusive to mammals and is a member of the H/ACA class of snoRNA which contain H (ANANNA) and ACA box motifs. Lineage: Eukaryota; Metazoa; Chordata; Mammalia; Eulipotyphla; Soricidae. The record is from RNAcentral.
AUGAGAUCACAUAUUUAAAAUGUUCCUGUGGGGCCCAGUGUACAUUGGCUGCCGACAGCGAGCGGCUCCUGGGUAGUGCAUACAGCCUGUGACUUGUACGGGCUUUGAUAAGGGACCCUGGAGACUGUC